This 107-nucleotide small nuclear RNA is filed under the name Erinaceus europaeus (western European hedgehog). The record is from RNAcentral. Lineage: Eukaryota; Metazoa; Chordata; Mammalia; Eulipotyphla; Erinaceidae.
GUGCUCACUUUGGCAGCACAUAUACUCAAAUUGGAACGAUACAGAGAAGAUUAGCAUGGCCCCCAGACAAGGAUGACACACAAAUUCAUGAAGCAUUCCAUAUUAAA